This 250-nucleotide ribosomal RNA is filed under the name uncultured bacterium. Its description in RNAcentral is "partial small subunit ribosomal RNA". It matches the Rfam family "Bacterial small subunit ribosomal RNA", at positions 26 to 287 of the family's 1533-position model. The record is from RNAcentral.
AGGACGAACGCUGGCGGCGUGCUUAACACAUGCAAGUCACGGGGGCCCGCAAGGGCAACCGGCGAACGGGUGCGUAACACGUGAGCAAUCUGCCGAUAUCUGGGGGAUAGCCGGCCCAACGGCCGGGUAAUACCGCAUACACUCACUGGUCGGCAUCGACUGGUGAGGAAACCUCCGGGGGAUAUCGAGGAGCUCGCGGCUUAUCAGCUAGUUGGUGAGGUAAUGGCUCACCAAGGCGACGACGAGUAGC